AACGAACGCUGGCGGCAUGCCUAACACAUGCAAGUCGAACGAGACCUUCGGGUCUAGUGGCGCACGGGUGCGUAACGCGUGGGAAUCUACCCUUGGGUUCGGAAUAACUCAGAGAAAUUUGAGCUAAUACCGGAUGAUGUCGCAAGACCAAAGAUUUAUCGCCCAAGGAUGAGCCCGCGUAGGAUUAGCUUGUUGGUGAGGUAAAAGCUCACCAAGGCGACGAUCCUUAGCUGGUCUGAGAGGAUGAUCAGCCACACUGGGACUGAGACACGGCCCAAACUCCUACGGGAGGCAGCAGUGGGGAAUAUUGGACAAUGGGCGCAAGCCUGAUCCAGCCAUGCCGCGUGAGUGAUGAAGGCCUUAGGGUUAUAAAGCUCUUUUGUCCGGGAAGAUAAUGACUGUACCGGAAGAAUAAGCCCCGGCUAACUUCGUGCCAGCAGCCGCGGU
This 447-nucleotide ribosomal RNA is filed under the name uncultured bacterium. RNAcentral describes it as "bacterial SSU rRNA". It matches the Rfam family "Bacterial small subunit ribosomal RNA", at positions 29 to 521 of the family's 1533-position model. The record is from RNAcentral.